This is a long non-coding RNA of Photinus pyralis (common eastern firefly), 876 nucleotides long. RefSeq lists it as uncharacterized. The record is from RefSeq and is a predicted model, not a curated record. Lineage: Eukaryota; Metazoa; Arthropoda; Insecta; Coleoptera; Lampyridae. The transcript is spliced from 3 exons.
CAGCGCUAAAUCUCCUCAUUUCUGGUAGGCUCCCAGUACUAGAAUAAUGCGUUCCAAAAAAUUAACGUCCUCUCUGUAAAGUGUAUAUAAUGGUAGUAGCACCAGUGAUAUUAAAUAUAGAAAUAAGUGUCGACAUAUAAACUUAGAUGUCGCAAGUAGUGAAGACAGGAGUCGUAAAAGUUCGUAAAUUCAGAAAGACUGAAACUGAAACCGAAACGUCAUGCGUGCAGCAUUUGGCCGGAGCAGGCGCGUUGCGUGUAACAUCGAUUUGUUGGUGCAUUCAUGUUUAUCAUGCGGUUUUAUAUUAAAUAAACGUGUAAUUCUAAAAACAAAGUAACUAAUUUUAAUUGUCAUCGUAAUUUCGUUAUUAUCUAACGUUUUUAUGUUAUUCUUUGUUUAGUGUAUGUGUGUGCCUCCAGUUUGUGCCGUGCCAACCCUCCAUCGUCUGUUGUUGUGUUUUUAAGGGGUGCCAACAAUAUCUAUUUUACAAUACAAAUUGCUGAACGUAACCCUACGGAUGAUAUGGAGUGUUACGCUUAAGGUUGUCGACGCUGCCACCGCAGUGGAGGGGAAGUCAGCUGGUACUGGCGUCGCGACGUUGCGAUACACUAGUCGACGUUUGGCAUCCCAACGCAACGUGACGCUUGUCUAAAAUCAUGAGGUUGCUGUGAGAAUUUUAAGUGUUUUUUGGAUCUGUGAUGAAAACUGUUACGAAAUAGUUUUUUAAUCGAACUUUUGAGUGCAGUGCUUUUUGACAUGAUUAUGUGGUAGCAGUGAUUGAACAUGAAGGGCUUUUUCGUUAUCACCGCGUGGGCCCUUUCCGCGUGUUUUGCAGCCUGGCAGGACAAUGUCAGGCCUAAGAUGUACGUCCAAUUA